CAGCCGCCGCGGUAAUACGUAGGGUGCAAGCGUUAAUCGGAAUUACUGGGCGUAAAGCGUGCGCAGGCGGUUAUAUAAGACAGAUGUGAAAUCCCCGGGCUCAACCUGGGAACUGCAUUUGUGACUGUAUAGCUAUAGUACGGCAGAGGGGGAUGGAAUUCCGCGUGUAGCAGUGAAAUGCGUAGAUAUGCGGAGGAACACCGAUGGCGAAGGCAAUCCCCUGGGCCUGUACUGACGCUCAUGCACGAAAGCGUGGGGAGCAAACAGGAUUAGAUACCCCUGUAGUCCCUGUCUCUUAUAC
RNAcentral lists this ribosomal RNA (301 nucleotides) under uncultured bacterium. RNAcentral describes it as "partial 16S ribosomal RNA". It matches the Rfam family "Bacterial small subunit ribosomal RNA", at positions 509 to 807 of the family's 1533-position model. The record is from RNAcentral.